This 764-nucleotide long non-coding RNA is filed under the name Apteryx owenii (little spotted kiwi). Its description in RNAcentral is "lncRNA (ENSAOWG00000014651.1)". The record is from RNAcentral. Lineage: Eukaryota; Metazoa; Chordata; Aves; Apterygiformes; Apterygidae.
AGGGGGGCUAUAGGGUGAUAUAGGGAGAUAAGGGAAAGAUAUGGGGCAAUAGGGGCAACGCAAGGGAAAUGGAAGGGAUAUAGAGCAAUAUGAGGAAGAUACGGGGUGAUAUGGGGGGGCUAUGGGGCUGGAGGGCACCAGAGGGAUGUUAUGGAGCCCAGGAAGUCAUUGGGAUUUUAGAAGUCCCCAAGAGGUUUUGAAGGGUCUCCAGGAGGUUUGGUGGACUCCCAGGAGGUUUGGGGGCUCCUGGGGUCCCUGGGAAGUUUUGAAGGGUCCCCAGGGGGUUUGGUGGACUCCCAGGAGAUUUGGGGGCUCCCCAGGAGGUUUGGGGGGCUCCCGGGAGGGCUUCGGGGGUCACGCACCGUCCAUGGAGUGGAGGGACUCGAAGGCGACGAUCUUGGGCAGCCCGGGGGGGCUGCGGGCCAGCAGCUGGGCCAGGUGCUGAGGGUCGUUGUGGCGGAAGACGUGCUUGGGGACGCCGCUGGCCCGGAUGCCCUGGAUCAUGGACGCGUGGUUGCCCGCGUCCGAGAAGAUCUCGCAGCCUGCGGCCAAGGGGGGGACAGACGGAGCGUGAGGCGCGGGGCCCCGGCGUCCGGGCGGGCAUGCGUGCGGGCGGGCGUCCCCGCGUACCUGGCAGCAGGCGGGCGAGCGUGGCCAGCGCCGUGUCGUUGGCGGCGAAGCAGGAGGAGAAGAGCAGGGCACGGGGCUGGCGAUGCAGCCGGGCCAGCGCUGCCUCCAGCGCCCCGUGCAGCGGCGACGUCCCG